RNAcentral lists this ribosomal RNA (460 nucleotides) under uncultured bacterium. RNAcentral's name for it is "partial 16S ribosomal RNA". It matches the Rfam family "Bacterial small subunit ribosomal RNA", at positions 338 to 795 of the family's 1533-position model. The record is from RNAcentral.
CCUACGGGUGGCUGCAGUGAGGAAUAUUGGUCAAUGGGCGCGAGCCUGAACCAGCCAAGUCGCGUGAAGGAUGCCUGCCCUACGGGUUGUAAACUUCUUUUAUAACGUCAUAAAGUGAUGCACGUGUACCUUUUUGUAUUUACUUUAUGAUUAAGUGUAGGCUAACUCCGUGCCAGCAGCCCCGGUACUACGGUGAAUCCGAGGGUUAUCCGGAUUUAUUGGGUGUAAGGGGAGCGUCGAUGGGUUGUGAAGUCAGGUGUGAAAGUUUGUGGCUCAACCGUAAAAUUGCAAUUGAUACUGGCAGUCUUGAGUACAGUAGAGGUAGGCGGAAUUCGAGGUGUAGCGGUGAAAUGCUUAGAUAUCACGAAGAACUCCGAUUGCGAAGGCAGCUUACUAAACUGCCACUGACAUUGAUGCUCGAAAGUGUGGGUAUCAAACAGGAUUAGAUACCCCAGUAGUC